Peromyscus leucopus (white-footed mouse) is the source of this 706-nucleotide long non-coding RNA. RefSeq lists it as uncharacterized. Lineage: Eukaryota; Metazoa; Chordata; Mammalia; Rodentia; Cricetidae. The record is from RefSeq and is a predicted model, not a curated record. The transcript is spliced from 3 exons.
UAGGAAAUGGGCUGACAUGAGGAAGGGAUCCUGUGGAGAGGGUUGGGGGAGAUGGCACCCGCUGUGAACGCAAGAGGAACCGAGUUCAAAUCCAGUGCCCACCAAACCACUGGCACAGUCCUGGAAGACACAUUAAACCUCCAGCCAUAUGUCUGGCUGCCCCUUUCAAAAGGCUGCCGUGCAUUUGUUGUGGCUUGGGAAUUAGAGAAUGAAAUUGGACCGUUCCUUAAAAAGGUAAGUUCAUGAGUUGAGGAGAUGGCUCAGUGGACCCUAACUUUAGAUCCCCGGCAGCCACAUAAAAAGCUGGUCAUAGUAGCACACACCUGUAGCCUUAGUGCUAUUGUGGUCAAGACGGCUUCCAGGAGCUCAGUGGCCAAGCCAGUCUAGCUAAUCAGUGAGCUCCGGCUUCCGUGAGAGACCCUGGCUUAAGAAAUAAGGUGAAAAAGCAACAGAGGAGGACAACCAACGUUUACCUUGGGCCUCCACAUGUGCACACACAUGCCAGGCACACACACACACACACACACACACACACACACACACACACACACACACACGAACGUAUAUUCUUCCACGUGUAUACGAAGUAAAAUUGUGGCUUUUCCGUGUCUGUUCCUUGGUACAUACCACGGUAUGUAUUGAUUCCUGCAACAGUGCAUUUUCUUUAUGUGAUUUUUAAAGGUCACUAGUGGCAAACUGAUGAAAA